CUUGGGAUGACCUGGCUGGAAAUCACAAGGGUAACACAUUCGCACAAAGUGGCGACAGAAAUAGAUUCCCCCAGUUCAGCCAUAAUAAACCAAAUUCUGUUUAUAGAGGAGGCUUUGCAUAAUUGUGCUCUCAGUUACCAGCUGGGAACAAACCCUGAGCCCCCAGGGAUGGGCCAGAGCUGUCUUGCUCAACUUUCUCACUUUCAGUUUGUCCCAAUUAGAAGCACUUAUACAGGGAUUAUGCCUGAUUUUCACCUGGGCACUUCAGGGUCUAAUUUCUACCAGGAAUAGCAGCCCUGGCAGGCUACACAUUCUGACCUCUUAAAGCUUGCUUUUAUUUCUUGGGUUUUUUUCCCCUGCAUAACUCUGGGUGCAGGUGUUCAGGAAUCUCCUCCUGACACCUUUAUUUCAAAUCAAACCCUCAGGACUUGCAGACCUUGCCAGGGUUGAUAAAUGCCUGAUCAUUUUGCUGCACUGUGAGCCGGCAGACUUGGGAGCAGAGGAGGAUUCCACAGGACUGGAAAAAUUCACUUUUUCCUUAAGCCCAAGAGAGGCCAAGCCAGGCUCAGUCUGAACGUCCCUGCCUGUGCCCAGAGUGAUUCCAUGUGAACCCAACUGGUUCACUUGCUUUCCAAAGGAACUCCAUCCAUGGGUGGCUGUUUAUACAGGUUUUGUUUGCCUCCCAUGAAGACAGAUGUUCCAGCUUCCAUUGCCACCUCAGUGGCAAUGACAUGAGCUUCCCUGGUGAAUAAAAAACAAACUGGAAAAUGUUUAACUUGGGUUCCCAUUUCAGAAUAACUGCAGUGGGAUGAGUCAGGCAGUGCAGCCACAGGAUAAUGAAGGAGAAUGUGUAUUUUAAUGAGCCCAUUUCAGAGCAGAUGCACUAACAGCUUUCACAGCAUCUCAUAGCUGAGGGUGGAGGGCUGCUUGGGGUUCAUCUGUUCCUGUGGUGGCCAGGUGGCACCAGAGAUGCUCUGCACUGAGCCCUGGCUUUCACCCCUGGGCCAGCAGUGCUGCCUGUGCUGUUGGGGCAGAGAGGGACCUGCAACCCCUGCCCAGGGGCAUCUUCCCUCUGCAUCCAGCUCAGGGAUGCUCACAGACACCUCUGGCUGCUGCCUUUGCAUGGGUAUGGACACUUCUAGCUGAAGCUGCUCUGCUCGUGGGUCCCUUCUGCAAGUAUGGAAACCCCCAUUCUAUAAAAGGAACGUUUCUGACCCUCGUGUGGCAUUCCUGCCUCCCAAAGACCUUGGGGCUGGUUGAACUGGGCUCCCAACCUUUAUUUGCUUGGGUGCAUGUGGAGCUUGGGUAUAGCUGCAGCUGUGGGCUGCACUGGCACUGCUGGCAGGAGGGCUGGGCUCUCCCUCCUGCCCUGGCUGGGCACAGGCACCCAGCAGCUCCCAGAGCUGCCCCUGCACACAGCCCCCUGCACCUCACCUGCUCUCAUGGGGUACCUGUGGCCAGCACAAAGCCCCUGGGACUGGGAGACACCCCUCAGGCUAAGAAAAGGGUAAGGAAAUGGGGACUGGUCUCCCACAGUUCAGUGGUCUUUAAUGCAUUUACUUGUAAUUAGUGGGAGGAUGAGUUUUCAUAGGGAUAGAGAUGAAGGAACAACCAGUGCUCUGAGACCACAAAGGAGAAAACUGACAUUUUCCUGCAUUGGGACACCACAGAGAUGAAGUAAAGCUGCAGUGUUGAAGUAAAGCUGCAUGUCUCUGAAACCAAGGUGCUUUUCACAUAAACUGUUGGGAUUCAGCUCCACCAUCCUCUUAGAUUUCAUAAUUCACAUUCAAACAAAUGCUGCCCAAGACAUGGACUGCUGGUGAGCCAAGUAAAGGUUGCAGUGUAAUCAGCUGCUGUUACUGCAUGGCAUAAUGAGAUCCUGAUGUCUCACUACACUCAGCUGAUCACUACAGGUGCUCCUAGAGCCUGCACUACUGUCAUUGCUGUGGUCACUGUCAGCAGCACCACCACAUCACCCAGUGGCUUGGACUUGCUCCCUCCAUGCCAUGUAAGUCUCAGGCUUAUCCUUGGGACUGAAAGGAUUGCACCUGCACAUGCUGAUCCUUUUUCACUCACAAGCUCUCAGGUUUGAGAGUGGGACAGCACCCAUGGGUGAAGUGCAGCUGGAAUUAAUGGUACACGCCAAAGGAUGAAGGAUGGAUGACAAAUCACCAGGUAUCUGAGGGCUUUUUUUCCUCAAUGACUCCUGACUGAAUAAAGCCUUACUG
Ficedula albicollis (Collared flycatcher) is the source of this 2228-nucleotide long non-coding RNA. RefSeq lists it as uncharacterized. The transcript is spliced from 3 exons. The record is from RefSeq and is a predicted model, not a curated record. Lineage: Eukaryota; Metazoa; Chordata; Aves; Passeriformes; Muscicapidae.